UGGUUGGAAUGGUCAGCAAAUAUAUUUUUAUAUAAGUAUAUACAUUAUUUGCGACCAAAUCCAGGCCACG
This 70-nucleotide microRNA precursor is filed under the name Strongyloides ratti. RNAcentral describes it as "microRNA str-mir-7880e precursor (str-mir-7880e-2)". The record is from miRBase by way of RNAcentral. Lineage: Eukaryota; Metazoa; Nematoda; Chromadorea; Rhabditida; Strongyloididae.